RNAcentral lists this ribosomal RNA (372 nucleotides) under uncultured bacterium. Its description in RNAcentral is "bacterial SSU rRNA". It matches the Rfam family "Bacterial small subunit ribosomal RNA", at positions 524 to 898 of the family's 1533-position model. The record is from RNAcentral.
UACGGAGGGUGCAAGCGUUAUCCGGAUUUACUGGGUUUAAAGGGUGCGUAGGCGGGCCUAUAAGUCAGUGGUGAAAUCUCCGGGCCUAACCCGGAAACUGCCAUUGAUACUAUGGGUCUUGAAUACAGUUGAGGUGGGCGGAAUGUGUCGUGUAGCGGUGAAAUGCUUAGAUAUGACACAGAACACCGAUUGCGAAGGCAGCUCGCUAAACUGUGAUUGACGCUGAGGCACGAAAGCGUGGGGAUCAAACAGGAUUAGAUACCCUGGUAGUCCACGCCCUAAACGAUGAUUACUCGAUCUGUGCGAUACACUGUACGGGUCUAUGCAAAAGCAUUAAGUAAUCCACCUGGGGAGUACGACCGCAAGGUUGAA